Molecule: ribosomal RNA, 446 nt
Filed under: uncultured prokaryote
Description: bacterial SSU rRNA
Rfam family: Bacterial small subunit ribosomal RNA
Source: RNAcentral
UCGAGAAUCUUCCGCAAUGGGCGCAAGCCUGACGGAGCGACACCGCGUGCAGGAUGAAGGCUCUAGGGUUGUAAACUGCUGUCACGCUCUAGGAAUGCCAUGGUGUGAAUAGUGUCAUGGUUGACCAAGGCGAGAGGAAGAGCCGGCUAACUCCGUGCCAGCAGCCGCGGUAAUACGGAGGGCUCAAACGUUGUUCGGAAUCACUGGGCAUAAAGCGCACGUAGGCGGCUUGCUAAGUCGGAUGUGAAAGCCCUCGGCCCAACCGGGGAACUGCAUCCGAAACUGGCAGGCUGGAGGAUGGCAGGGGUGAGUGGAACUCCAGGUGGAACGGUGAAAUGUGUAGAUAUCUGGAGGAACACCGGUGGCGAAAGCGGCUCACUGGGCCAUCACUGACGCUGAGGUGCGAAAGCCAGGGUAGCAAACGGGAUUAGAUACCCCCGUAGUCC